GGAGAGGUCGCAUAGUGGUUUAGUGCACCGGUCUUGAAAACCGGAGUACCGAUAAGGUACCGUGGGUUCGAAUCCCACCCUCUCCGCCA
This 89-nucleotide transfer RNA is filed under the name bacterium. RNAcentral describes it as "tRNA-Ser". It matches the Rfam family "tRNA". From Rfam's summary of the family: Transfer RNA (tRNA) molecules are approximately 80 nucleotides in length. Their secondary structure includes four short double-helical elements and three loops (D, anti-codon, and T loops). Further hydrogen bonds mediate the characteristic L-shaped molecular structure. tRNAs have two regions of fundamental functional importance: the anti-codon, which is responsible for specific mRNA codon recognition, and the 3' end, to which the tRNAs corresponding amino acid is attached (by aminoacyl-tRNA synthetases). tRNAs cope with the degeneracy of the genetic code in two manners: having more than one tRNA (with a specific anti-codon) for a particular amino acid; and 'wobble' base-pairing, i.e. permitting non-standard base-pairing at the 3rd anti-codon position. The record is from RNAcentral.